RNAcentral lists this long non-coding RNA (557 nucleotides) under Heterocephalus glaber (naked mole-rat). Its description in RNAcentral is "lncRNA (ENSHGLG00000036418.1)". The record is from RNAcentral. Lineage: Eukaryota; Metazoa; Chordata; Mammalia; Rodentia; Bathyergidae.
CUCCAGAGUAACUGCUGACGCUGUUGGGGAACAGAGGACCUGGCCUCCUGAAGAAGCACCAACAGGCCCUCUGCUUCAAGUUGUAGGUGUGAACAAAUCCAGACCACUAAGAGGUGUCUUGAAGUUUUGACGCCCUCCAGUCCUCCUUGAAUUUGGGUAUGGAUCCUAAGAUUUGCUCCAGUACCUCUGCAGCCAGCACCCAGAGCAGCUAAUGAAAGGAUUCAAGCCGGACGUUCAGGGAUAAGGAGAGACGGCUACAAUGAUACUUCAAAUUGGUAUGUAUCAGGUAACCCAAAGGAAACACCCGGCCCAAUUCAGCAUUGAAUGCAUGUUAGCCAGACAAGAGUGUGUAAGUUUUUUGACCCAGGUUUCCAGAGCCUUUCCUAAGGGAUAUAGUCAGCACAGACCACUAUUAUCCAGAUUAUGGGCUUUUGAGUACUUCCACAUUCAGGAUAUUCUGAGAAUGCCUAACCACAUACAAUCGAUCACAGAAAUUGCAAUCUCUUUUGAUCCUGAGGAAGUCAGUUCUUUCUGCUAACUACACAGCAGCAGCCCGG